This is a non-coding RNA of Elaeis guineensis (African oil palm), 867 nucleotides long. The record is from RefSeq and is a predicted model, not a curated record. Lineage: Eukaryota; Viridiplantae; Streptophyta; Magnoliopsida; Arecales; Arecaceae.
UCUUCAUUUUUUUAAAAUAGUUUAUAUGUCACCACCAUCCUCGCUGUUCACAGGAUGGUGAGCAGAACUUGAAACCAUCGUCAGUUGAAGCUAUUGGAAAUGCCCAAGUAGCUUCCGUUUGUUUUCUUUCUUAGAUGGAGGAAAUGGACCAAGUUUCGGUGCAACACGACGUUGCCGGCCGGUCAUGGCUGAAGAAGGCUACGCUCGGAGAUGGCGAGGCCGAGCCCCCGGCAUGCCCGAAGCCUCUCAGGCCUGCAGGUCCGGCUUUGCAGCACUUCCUGUAUCCCCNUUCAUGCAGCCAUUCCAGCCAUGGAAGGAGCAGUGAUAUUCUGGCAAUGAUAUCAAGCAAGAAUGAUGCAGGAAAAGAAUCUAUCAGCACAGGAUGCCCACCUUCAUGUUAUUGUGGAUCUCCUCCAAGCAGAUCAGAUAACCCAUUGGUACAUGAUGUUCAAUUUGUCCAUCAGGCGGAGAUUCUUUCACCACACCCACAGGCCAAGUUGUUCGACAGGCUUGCUACUUAAGCUGGUUUUCAACUGGAGCUACUGUUAUAAGACUGACAACUUGAUACCAUGGCAGACAAAAUUGGAGCCCUCAAAGAGAUCAGCCAAUGAGUCUUUGAAGUUUGAAUGAUCAUUAAAAAAGAAAAAGAAACCUUAAAUCUAGAGAUGUAAUAACGGUUAACCUGACAAAUAUUUUUUACCCUCUUUAAACCUUUGUGGGGACCAGUUUUGGAGAAAGAGCUCUGUAUAUAUGCGGCAAUGGCAAUAAUAUUUGUUGUACACUAUGUGUGUAUGUGUUCAAAUGCAUGUCAAACAGACUAGAGAAUUAUGAUGAUGUUCAAAUGAGAUCAUGCAAAUUACUCUGAAA